Molecule: small nucleolar RNA, 146 nt
Filed under: Drosophila grimshawi
Lineage: Eukaryota; Metazoa; Arthropoda; Insecta; Diptera; Drosophilidae
Description: snoRNA:GH25835
Source: RNAcentral
AGUCCACCUCAAUGCCGGUCAGCAAAUAUUUCAUGCUGAGCUGAGCAUAUCAAAUAACAAUGGACUUAUAUUAAAUGAGGUUUUAAUAUCCUAGUGCCUGAAGAUCACAUUCUCUUCUUGCUCUCUUGGAACUUAAAACUACAUUA